Lontra canadensis (Northern American river otter) is the source of this 123-nucleotide long non-coding RNA. RefSeq lists it as uncharacterized. The transcript is spliced from 3 exons. Lineage: Eukaryota; Metazoa; Chordata; Mammalia; Carnivora; Mustelidae. The record is from RefSeq and is a predicted model, not a curated record.
UGACCUUGAUCCCCCAACAAAGGGGAGAUUGGGCAAGGGCUAUGAAGCCAUCCGUUUGGUCCCGUUCUUGGAUUUAACUUCCAGAUGCUGGGAUGGAGCAGGAGAGAGGCAGGAAAACACACA